UGAAGGCAGGAACCUGGUCUUGAACCAAGUGUUCUAUCACUGUGUGCUCAGUGGGAGCAAAAAAUCCACAGCUGUUAUUGUCCUUCAGAUUCAUGCUUCUUGGGGAGCAAUGCCCUGCGGCACACUUUACCUUCUUUGUCCCAGGCUGCUUCUCUGUAAGUAUUAACCUUUCUUUCCUAGUCUACACUCUCAGAGAGUAGUGGAAAGAGAGUAGAGAAUAGUAGUAGAGAGAUUGCUUAUCUCUCUUUCUCUCUGUGGCAAUGGCUAUGCUUGAUCUUGCCUUCUAGUUCAUGGUACACAUGCCUGCCCCUCACACUGGCCCAUUGCUUCACACAAGGGCAUAAAUAAAAGUCACUCUAAACUUUGCCAUCCGCAAAGACCUGGGCCUAAUCUAUGAACCUGAUUUGGCUCUGGAGUGGGGAUUUGGAAAAGCUUCCCAUGUGAUUCUGACAUGCACCUCCAUUAGGUACAUUUGGCUGCAACUUUUUUAAAAAAUGAGGAGUUUAGAGUCUUCUACAGUCCCCUGAGCAGGGAUUUGCACACAGAAGACACUCAAUAUAUUCUUAUUGAAUAAAGUAGAUACCAAUAUAGCCCUUAGUAGCCCUAUAGCCAACCUGGAGAUAACUUGUAAGGCACUACCCCUUCAGUUCCAGAUGCAGCUUCAGUGACAUAUUUGUCAGUGGGGGAGUAGAUCUGGAGGAGUUUGAUCAGUCUAGGGAAGAGCCAGGGCCUAAUUUUCAUUAGGCCAGUGGCACCUGCUGGAGAAGGCUGGGCGAUACAUCAAUGAAGGGAAGGGGUUCCCAUGGGCCUGCCAGCCUAGAGGUGGGGCCACUACUUACCACUGAUGGAAGAAACAGCAUGAGGAGGAGAUAAUGAGGUAGUUUGUGGAAUCAGAGCUAAGCUUAUGGGCUUCUCAAUGGCCUAAUCUUUCGAACACACUUUACACUGAUUCUUAACGUUUUGUUCAGCUUUUAUUCACAGGGUAGGCUAAGCCAGGGAGCAGAAAGGCAAGGGACUCCUACUCACAUACCCACUUGGCAAAACCAAAGCACCUUGGGCUUUGAACCCACCCUUCUUAGAAGGCAGGUUUGGGGGUUGAUGCCCCUUGAUAGGCUCACUUCACCCUCUCCCCGUGCCAUUCCAUUUCUACCCAUCCCAAGAUGCUUAUCUGAGUAUUUCUUUCAGUACAUCCAGCCAUCUUCCUGGGAGCAUUUUAUAUCUGAGUUUUACACUUCUGGUGAUGUUUUGGCAUCCCUAAUAGACGGGCUCCCAGGGCAGUCUUUAAUCAGGAGUCUUCCCGUAAUCUAGCUCCUCAAGAAUCCAAGGGAAGAGGCACAAAGAAAAGUAUGAAUGGGAAGAUAGAAGGGCAACCCAAUCAGAAAGUGGCGGACGAUACUGUUGAGAAGGAGCCGGCAGAGAGCUGCACACCAGGAGCUACACUGUCUUUCCCUGACCACAACCUCCGUUGGCCACCUCCUGCCCUUCCCCUCCCUCCACCCGUGGAAACCACUGCUCAAUCUCAACUGGCCUCUUGCAGGCCUAUCUCUCCCUCCAAACAAAGGUGUGCUGGACACAGGGCUGCAGACCUCUAGCCACUCCCAGAACACACACACACACACAAAAACCCACAGUGGUUCUAUAGCAUUUACACCUCCACAUUCCUUCAGACAGAAUCCAGAAGAGAGGAACCUUGCUAUCUCUGAAGCAGAGCAUGUCUCCAAGCUCAGGGCAGCCCCAGACCUCUAACGGCCUCAAGUGGAGUGGAAAUCCCUCAAGGGCACAAAGCCAGUCCCUACCACCUCAAUCGGUAUCUGGCAAUGUUUGUGGUUGGUUGAGUGAGUGAACAGAAGACCAUCUUUUGGCUUUUUUCUACCUCCGUUUCCUGUUACCAUACUUGCCAAUGUUGCAUCUUCUGGUCAACACCAGGUAUUCUCCCCAUGAGCUUCUUGUGAACCUGUCUAGGGUCCAUCAGCCCAAACAUCAUUUGUUUUGUUUGAAUUAAGCUUUGUUAAACUUUUCACAGCUUUCAUUUCAUUCUUGAACUUUCACAGUGCAACCGCCUGUGAGGGGACAAAGAAGUCCACAAACAUGGAAACCGGGCCUAAAGAUGUCCAGAGUAAACUGUCUGUGGAGUCAAAUUGUAUUUGAGCCCCAGACCUAAACACCAAAUCCAAGCUCUUUUUCACUAUGACCUUGGGCCUCUCAAGGCCUAGUUUCCUCAUCUAUAAAGUGUAGAGAAGCCAGUAACAGACUCACCCACACUAUGAGGGUGUGCAUGAGGUCAUGUAUGUAAAUGUGCUUACUUUAUAGAUCAUUCUGUCCCAAUAAGUAUGAAUUACUAUGCAUCAUUUCAUUAAAAAAGAAAGCUUCAUUGUAUUAUAUGCACAAAUAAAAGAUUAACAUGUAUUGUCUUA
Molecule: long non-coding RNA, 2414 nt
Organism: Sapajus apella (tufted capuchin)
Lineage: Eukaryota; Metazoa; Chordata; Mammalia; Primates; Cebidae
Exons: 2
Source: RefSeq, a predicted model, not a curated record